This 388-nucleotide long non-coding RNA is filed under the name Trifolium pratense (red clover). RNAcentral's name for it is "long non-coding RNA (TPRA_LNC007241)". Lineage: Eukaryota; Viridiplantae; Streptophyta; Magnoliopsida; Fabales; Fabaceae. The record is from RNAcentral.
CAAAAGUUCUCUACUAUUCACUAACCUCAACCGCUUUCCACUCUAUUUUCUUUGACAAAGGCACUUUAUACUCCACCUACGUUUAGUUUUUUUGUCGUGUAGCACGUGGUUUAUGAUUGUGCUAACUAAUAAGCACUUUUCACUUUUUGAAUUAUAAAAAGCCCUUCUAUCAUAUUUCCUCCUCAAAGCCAACCAAAACCUUCUCUAUUAAGAAUAAUCCAAUAAUUAACAAACUCUCUAUUUCUCUCUCUCUAUAUGAAAUAUGGCUGAAGAAGUUAGAAAAGAUGAAGAGAAUAUUAAUAAUCAAGGGAUUAAGCUAUUUGGCACAACAAUAAAACUACAUGGUGAGGAAUCAAAAGAAGGAGAAAAAGAAAGCGAAGAUCNNNNN